CUUGUCUCAAAGAUUAAGCCAUGCAUGUAUAAGUAUAAACGACUUGAUCGUGAAACCGCGAACGGCUCAUUAUAACAGCUAUAAUUUACUUGAUCUUGACAACCUACUUGGAUAACUGUGGUAAUUCUAGAGCUAAUACAUGCACCAAAGCUCCGACCGUAAGGGAAGAGCGCAUUUAUUAGAACAAAACCAAGCGGCUUCGGCCGUCCAAUGUUGACUCAGAAUAACUAAGCUGAUCGCAUGGUCUUGUACCGGCGACGUGUCUUUCAAGUAUCUGCCUUAUCAACUUUCGAUGGUAGUGUAUCUGACUACCAUGGUGAUGACGGGUAACGGAGGAUAAGGGUUCGACUCCGGAGAAGGGGCCUGAGAAAUGGCCACUACGUCUAAGGAUGGCAGCAGGCGCGCAAAUUACCCACUCUCAGAACGAGGAGGUAGUGACGAGAAAUAACGAGACCGUUCUCUUAAGAGGCCGGUCAUCGGAAUGGGUACAAUUUAAACCCUUUAACGAGUAUCUAUGAGAGGGCAAGUCUGGUGCCAGCAGCCGCGGUAAUUCCAGCUCUCAAAAUGCAUAGAAUUAUUGCUGCGGUUAAAAAGCUCGUAGUUGGAUCUGUGCUGGCCUCCCGGUCCACCUUCGGGUGUGCACUGGUGAGGUUGGCUUUCCUGCCCAUUUUUCGGUCAGUGCCUUUAACCGGGUGCUGGUCGUAGUGGGCAAGUUUACUUUGAACAAAUCAGAGUGCUCAAAACAGGCGUUUCGCUUGAAUGUUCGUGCAUGGAAUAAUAGAAGAGGAUUUCGGUUCUAUUUUAUUGGUUUUAUAGACUGAGAUAAUGGUUAACAGAGGCAAACGGGGGCAUUCGUAUUGCUACGUGAGAGGUGAAAUUCUUGGACCGUAGCAAGACGAACUACAGCGAAAGCAUUUGCCAAGAAUGUCUUCAUUAAUCAAGAACGAAAGUCAGAGGUUCGAAGGCGAUCAGAUACCGCCCAAG
Molecule: ribosomal RNA, 984 nt
Filed under: Sauertylenchus maximus
Lineage: Eukaryota; Metazoa; Nematoda; Chromadorea; Rhabditida; Telotylenchidae
Description: SSU rRNA
Rfam family: Eukaryotic small subunit ribosomal RNA
Source: RNAcentral